This 752-nucleotide ribosomal RNA is filed under the name uncultured Prevotellaceae bacterium. RNAcentral's name for it is "bacterial SSU rRNA". It matches the Rfam family "Bacterial small subunit ribosomal RNA", at positions 72 to 817 of the family's 1533-position model. The record is from RNAcentral. Lineage: Bacteria; Pseudomonadati; Bacteroidota; Bacteroidia; Bacteroidales; Prevotellaceae.
UUAUGUGCUUGCACAUUUUGGACGUCGACCGGCGCACGGGUGAGUAUCGCGUAUCCAACCUGCCCUUUACUUGGGGAUACCCCGUUGAAGGACGGCCUAAUACCCGAUGUAAUUCAUUGAUGGCAUCAGAUAUGAAUAAAAGAUUUAUCGGUAAAGGAUGGGGAUGCGUCUGAUUAGCUUGUUGGUGAGGUAAUGGCUCACCAAGGCAACGAUCAGUAGGGGUUCUGAGAGGGAGGUCCCCCACAUUGGAACUGAGACACGGUCCAAACUCCUACGGGAGGCAGCAGUGAGGAAUAUUGGUCAAUGGGCGCAAGCCUGAACCAGCCAAGUAGCGUGCAGGAAGACGGCCCUAUGGGUUGUAAACUGCUUUUAUACGAGAAUAAUUUGAUGCACGUGUGCGUUAUUGCAUGUAUCGUAUGAAUAAGGACCGGCUAAUUCCGUGCCAGCAGCCGCGGUAAUACGGAAGGUCCAGGCGUUAUCCGGAUUUAUUGGGUUUAAAGGGAGUGUAGGCGGUUUGUUAAGCGUGUUGUGAAAUUUAGAUGCUCAACAUUUAACUUGCAGCGCGAACUGUCAGACUUGAGUACACGCAACGUAUGCGGAAUUCAUGGUGUAGCGGUGAAAUGCUUAGAUAUCAUGAAGAACUCCGAUUGCGAAGGCAGCAUACGGGAGUGUAACUGACGCUUAAGCUCGAAGGUGCGGGUAUCGAACAGGAUUAGAUACCCUGGUAGUCCGCACAGUAAACGAUGGAUGCC